CCUACGGGAGGCAGCAGUGAGGAAUAUUGGUCAAUGGACGAGAGUCUGAACCAGCCAAGUAGCGUGAAGGAUGACUGCCCUAUGGGUUGUAAACUUCUUUUAUAUGGGAAUAAAACGUUCCACGUGUGGGAUUUUGUAUGUACCAUAUGAAUAAGGAUCGGCUAACUCCGUGCCAGCAGCCGCGGUAAUACGGAGGAUCCGAGCGUUAUCCGGAUUUAUUGGGUUUAACGGGAGCGUAGGUGGAUUGUUAAGUCAGUUGUGAAAGUUUGCGGCUCAACCGUAAAAUUGCAGUUGAAGCUGGCAGUCUUGAGUACAGUAGAGGUGGGCGGAAUUCGUGGUGGAGCGGUGAAAUGCUUAGAUAUCACGAAGAACUCCGAUUGCGAAGGCAGUUCACUGGACUGCAACUGACACUGAGGCUCGAAAGUGUGGGUAUCAAACAGGAUUAGAUACCCCAGUAGUC
RNAcentral lists this ribosomal RNA (460 nucleotides) under uncultured bacterium. Its description in RNAcentral is "partial 16S ribosomal RNA". It matches the Rfam family "Bacterial small subunit ribosomal RNA", at positions 338 to 795 of the family's 1533-position model. The record is from RNAcentral.